Molecule: long non-coding RNA, 1175 nt
Organism: Vicia villosa (hairy vetch)
Lineage: Eukaryota; Viridiplantae; Streptophyta; Magnoliopsida; Fabales; Fabaceae
Exons: 4
Source: RefSeq, a predicted model, not a curated record
UUUCCAAAUUUUUUAUUUUGUAUCUUUCUUGGAUACACAGAUAUAAUCUUUUCCCUACUUUUAGUCAAGUCUUAUCAUUCUCUUACCAUACUCUCUUUGCUAUCUCUCUACUAUCUUUGCUAUCUCUAACCCAUCUUCCGUUUUGAAAACUAAGCCAUCUUCCACCGUCUUUCAUCUUCAACCUCUGCAUCUUCCGUCUUCAACCUUUCCAUCUUCUUUGGAAACGGCAAUUUUUUCUUUAAAUUUUGCUAUAUCCUGAAAAUAUUAUUAAACUUUUCAGGUUUGGUAUUGUUGUUUCAUCUACCAUUGCUUCAUCAUUCAAGAUGUUAAAGACAACAGUAUAGCAUAUUCCUCUCCCUCUUAAUGUUCUUUCUUCUUCCUCUUAAUGACAAUAUAGGUUUUUACGGAUACUCAUUAAAAUUUGGGGAAAAUCGGCGGCGCCGGUGGUGCGCAAAGGGGAGCGGAGGACAAAAGGUUACUCCGGCGGCGGUGACGAAUUUGUGAGGAACGAGUGGGGGUCGGGAUUCGCAAAUUUCCGGAGGUAGAAGAUAAGUGAAUUUAGGUUCAUGGCUAAACAAAGCUAAAUAUCUGGGUAUUGACACAGGUUGGUGAUUUUGGUUUGUCUAAAAUUAAACGAAAUACCUUAAUUUCUGGUGGGGUGCGGGGCACUCUACCUUGGAUGGCAGCGGAGCUGCUGAAUGGUAGCAGCAGCAAGGUCUCAGAAAAGGUGGAAUUGUUAACAACACACUAAGACAAACAAUUAUGAAUUAUUGUGAUCUUGAAUGGAGGACGCUGAUGGAGCAAUGUUGGGCACCAAAUCUAGCACCUAGGCCAUCUUUCACAAAAAUAGCGAGUCGGUUGCGUAUUAUGUCUUCAAAAACUAGCCAGGCCAAAUCACCAUGCCUCAAGGCAUCCAAAUGAUUGAAACAAAUGCAUGGUGGUGUAGUGUUUGUUUCUAUCUUUUGCCAUUAUUAUAAGCAUGGAUGCUUUCUUCUUUUAAUAUUGAAAUUGAUGGUUCAUUGAUUGGUCAUCAUCCAGGGAAGUAUUUGAUGAAUUUUGUAAGUCAAAAGUCCAUGGCUGAUUGAAGUAUUGUUAUACACUAAACUACAUUCACAAAAGUUCAGAAUGAUUUAGCUGUUUAAUUAGUUUUUUUUAGUUCCCUCUUUCUUCUCAAA